CGAUCCCGGUAAGGUCCA
Molecule: unclassified non-coding RNA, 18 nt
Filed under: Chlamydomonas reinhardtii
Lineage: Eukaryota; Viridiplantae; Chlorophyta; Chlorophyceae; Chlamydomonadales; Chlamydomonadaceae
Description: small RNA Cre_1218
Source: RNAcentral